Molecule: non-coding RNA, 237 nt
Organism: Paramuricea clavata
Lineage: Eukaryota; Metazoa; Cnidaria; Anthozoa; Malacalcyonacea; Plexauridae
Source: the annotation of a GenBank genome assembly
CUGGGUAAGUAUGUUUAUUGAAUACUACACUGAAGCAUAGCUCAGUUAUUAUGGGCCCAAAUCAAAUGAAAUUUUGGAUACUGAUUGCACAUGAUGAGACGCAUGGAAAAACACUUCUAAUUUUGUUGCCAAGGUAACAAUGUCGUUCCCAGGCCCCAUGCGCCAAUUUUAUAAAACAGCUUUAUUCAAGGUACUGAUAAAAAUAAAAUAAUAUCAGAAGUAUGUGUACGAUACCUA